AGAAGAAGGAUGGUUUGAGCAUACCCAAUACACAUGCCCCUUCCCAGUCCUGUGGUAACUCCGAAUAUGCAUCUUACCACAAAUCCAGUACAAAUUUGCUGGGGCUUUCCAACUAGAUGUAGCAGAUAGGUCAAACCGUACAUCCUUUAAAUUGGUAUAAUUUGCAAACGGAUUAGACGGUUCUGAGACAUUUGAAGCUGACCACCAAAUAGUAUCCUUUGUAUCGU
This 227-nucleotide long non-coding RNA is filed under the name Pelobates cultripes (western spadefoot toad). Lineage: Eukaryota; Metazoa; Chordata; Amphibia; Anura; Pelobatidae. The record is from RNAcentral.